This 469-nucleotide ribosomal RNA is filed under the name uncultured bacterium. Its description in RNAcentral is "bacterial SSU rRNA". It matches the Rfam family "Bacterial small subunit ribosomal RNA", at positions 28 to 479 of the family's 1533-position model. The record is from RNAcentral.
GACGAACGCUGGCGGCGUGCCUAAUACAUGCAAGUAGAACGCUGAAGAGAGGAGCUUGCUCUUCUUGGAUGAGUUGCGAACGGGUGAGUAACGCGUAGGUAACCUGCCUUGUAGCGGGGGAUAACUAUUGGAAACGAUAGCUAAUACCGCAUAACAAUGGAUGACCCAUGUCAUUUAUUUGAAAGGGGCAAAUGCUCCACUACAAGAUGGACCUGCGUUGUAUUAGCUAGUAGGUGAGGUAACGGCUCACCUAGGCGACGAUACAUAGCCGACCUGAGAGGGUGAUCGGCCACACUGGGACUGAGACACGGCCCAGACUCCUACGGGAGGCAGCAGUAGGGAAUCUUCGGCAAUGGGGGCAACCCUGACCGAGCAACGCCGCGUGAGUGAAGAAGGUUUUCGGAUCGUAAAGCUCUGUUGUAAGUCAAGAACGAGUGUGAGAGUGGAAAGUUCACACUGUGACGGUAGC